UGAUCCAUCCCUCCUGCACGGGAUGUGCCAUUUCCCAGUAACCAAUGCAAACACGUGUAUCAGCUCGUCUGUAGAUACUCGACCGUUUCUGAGAAAACGCCAGGCAUGUUUUUGACGUAAUUUAGAAGACCUUUAGCAGGCGCUGAGGUUAAUACAACUGUUGUCAUAGUGAAACUUUAUGUUCAAGAAUGGAGGAGUGUUGACAAUGCAGAUCAAUGAUACCAAAUCAUGCAGGACAGUGAAAUUUUAAACCUCAUCACUGACACUGCCAUCAUGACAUCAACUAGUGGCCCAGCAAAUGAAGAUGAAACCGUACCGGCUGCUUCUGAAGCAUUUCAUUCUUUAAAGCUCAAGAUGAAUGCUACCAGUAUCUGUCCUGAAAAAAGAGAGUGACUUAACUGCUCAUAAGCUGGUUCAGGACCUUACUGACACAUCAGUAUCUCUUUAAGAAGUAUACUGUGAGUAAAAGUCAACAAAAAUUC
This is a long non-coding RNA of Schistocerca nitens (vagrant locust), 482 nucleotides long. RefSeq lists it as uncharacterized. Lineage: Eukaryota; Metazoa; Arthropoda; Insecta; Orthoptera; Acrididae. The transcript is spliced from 3 exons. The record is from RefSeq and is a predicted model, not a curated record.